AGCGUAUAUUAAAGUUGUUGCAGUUAAAAAGCUCGUAGUUGAAUUUCGGAAUUUGUCGGUUGGUCGGGCUUCACUGUCCGCACUGACCUGAUGGAUUCCUACCUUCUGAAUAACCAGCAUGCCAUUAAUUUAGUGCGUUGGGGAAGCAGAGCUAUUACCUUGAAAAAAUUAGAGUGCUUAAAGCAGGCUUGUGCUUGAAUAGAUUAGCAUGGAAUAAUAAAAUAGGACGGCAUGGUUCUAUUUUGUUGGUUUCUAGGAUCACCGUAAUGAUUAAUAGGGAUAGUUGGGGGCAUUAGUAUUCAAUUGUCAGAGGUGAAAUUCUUGGAUUUAUUGAAGACUAACUUCUGCGAAAGCAUUUGCCAAGGAUGUUUUCAUUAAUCAAGAACGAAAGUUAGGGGAUCGAAGACGAUCAGAUACCGUCGUAGUCUUAACCAUAAACUAUGCCGACUAGGGAUCGGACGAUGUUAAUUUUUUAAUGACUCGUUC
RNAcentral lists this ribosomal RNA (486 nucleotides) under uncultured Glomeromycotina. RNAcentral describes it as "SSU rRNA". It matches the Rfam family "Eukaryotic small subunit ribosomal RNA", at positions 596 to 1081 of the family's 1831-position model. Lineage: Eukaryota; Fungi; Glomeromycota. The record is from RNAcentral.